Molecule: unclassified non-coding RNA, 4699 nt
Filed under: Leishmania donovani
Lineage: Eukaryota; Euglenozoa; Kinetoplastea; Trypanosomatida; Trypanosomatidae
Description: gene:LdHU3.13.1840(CDS-product:T-complex_protein_ 10_C-inus_putative)
Source: RNAcentral
AUCAACGGAGGGGUCGGCAGAGCAAAACACCAAAAAAAGGAAAAUACAGUAAAGAAACAGGUCUGUGUCCUUUUCCUGCGCUGUAGAGGAAGGAGAGCGGCCCCCCCCAGCGCACACCACUCAAAAACACACGUGCGCACGCACACACCCACGCAGGUGCAGAGGCUGCCACAGCGGGAGUGGUGACUGAGGACGUUCAAGAGGAGGGCGACAAAGUCUUGUGCUUCUCUCAUAAUCUGUCCCUCUUCCCCAUCGCUCUCGCUGUUCCACCCCUUGGCUGCCCUCGUUGAGCCUUGCAGCGUGUGCUGCCCUUUUUUCUUUGUUGCUUGUUUGUAGCUUUCCUUGCUAAUUGUUUUUGUGUCGCGCCGUUCUUUCGCGCCCAUGUCGCGCGUCUCCGUGCUUGCAGGGCAGAAGCCCAAGCCAAAGGAGUCUUUCAAGUUCCUGCGGCGCGAUGAGGGGCGUCUGUCGUACUCGGCCGCCACGGCAGAAUCGCCGUCAAAGAACGCCGCUAAUGGCGCCGACGGCGCCAACAUUAAUCGUGAGCGCCGUGACUCCAAGGCGCUGCGCGAGGCUAUCGCCUACGACAUGCGCAAUGCCAAGAGCCACGACCCGCUCGGGGAGGUGGUAGUGGCUGUUCCCCGCAAGGCACCUCCGCCCACGCGUGCGGUGAGUGCACCUCCACCCAACACCAACGCAUCUAGUGGGACAGAGAAGCCGGCAGCCGGGGCGACGCCGCAGCGACGCCAACCUGCUCGUGCGGCGAACCCCAAGAAGCCGGAGUGGGUCAACCCUGACAUCCCACCAUCGCCACUGCUGCAGGCUCCGACACGCUCGGAGGUGGAGCAUCCGGCGGACAACUACUUCGAGACAUCUUAUAGCGAUCCCUACAGCGGCGGUGCUGCGGCACCGUCGAGUGGCAUCGGCCGGUCCGUCAGCCGUGGCUCGGACACCAAUGGGGCCGACUUGGGACGGUAUGGUGGACUCACCCCGCGGAGCGCCGCCAUGGGGGCGCCGCGUUACGCUUCUCUCAAGUACGAGGAGUCGAGUGCCGCGCCAUCGUCUGGGCAGGAUCGCAACUACUUCCGUCGACCGCCCUACACCCGCGACCCCGCCCUAGGUUCUGACGCUCACUCACCAGCGGGCAGUCGCAGCCGCGAGGAGGACGAGCUCAUCGCGAGCUUGGAGCAGGAAAUCAAGGCUGCGCAGAAGGAGCGCAGUCACUACGCGGACGCACGACAGCAGCUCGAUCGUGAAAAGCAGCGCUUUGAUUCGUACCGAUAUGGUGCGCGGCAGCAGAUGGAGGAUGAGCGCGCUGACGCUGGUGACCGCCGCUCACGCGAGCAGCGCGAUGCUCAGAAGGAUCUGCGCGCCACAGAGGAGCGCUUCAAGAACGUGUCGGCGCUGCUUGUAGCGGAGCGUGAGACCAACCGGCGCUUGUCGCAGGAGAACGACUCGCUGCGCACUCAGCUCGAGGACCUCACAUCCACGAUGCGCGAGGCGCACAGCAUACACAAGGCGGAGGUGGCCCGCAUGCGCCGCGACAUCGACUCCCUGACGCGCCGCAACGCCGAACUACUCGCAAUGGCGAAGGAGCAGCAGCUGCAGUGCCUCGAAGGCGCGUCCGCCUCACCGGCGACGCGACAGAGCAGCAGCUCUCCCUUGUCCGUCUCUCUGGAUCCCUCCGCUCAGCGCGCCUCCUCGGCCUCGUAUGAGGACGGCGAUGAUGAAGACAACGAUGCAGCCGCGGUGAGGGAGCGGCGGGCUUCACGAGCGGCCCCUCUUGCCGUCAUGGACUUCACCCCCCGUGCAGCGCCCAGCGAGGCGGCGGCGCGCGAGAAGCGCAAUCGGCAGAUGCAGAACCGCAUGCAGGCUGAGGAGCAGGCGAUGGAGGAGCGGAGGCGGCACCGUGAGAGGUAUAUCGCAGACCGCAAGAGGGAAGAGCAGGAGAAAAAGGCGCGGCACCGGGUUGCGGUGGCCGCCGCCGCUGCCGCGACGGCGCGCCGCCGACGUGAGGAGGAGGAUCUGCGAAAGGCUGCAUCAGCUGCAGAGAAGCCAGUGGAUGAACGGAAGAUGUCGGGGCAUCCGGUUCGCACGCCCCGCAUGCAGUCCGGCGCGUUAUCCGUCAAACGACGCCCCUCCGCCAGCGCGGUGCACCCGCGGGUGCCGCUGAAGCGCCACCACGUCCCCACUCGGGAGGAGCUGAUUGGUGACAUGGAGGAGUUCCCGACGGAGAAGCUCUGUGAAGACGACGUCGUGUCGCAGACGGCUCUGGGCGACAACUCGAACAAAAAGGAGGUACUAUACCGCAGUGGCAAGCGGGAAAUCCACUACGCGAACGGCACGGUGAAGGUCGUGCUGCCAUCUGGACACACGACGCUGCACUUCACGAAUGGCGACGUCAAGUGCACUUUUCCCUCCGGAAAGAGCACUUACUGGUACGACGCGGCGCAGACAAUGCACACGCAGAUGCCGGACGGUGUGCAGGCCUUCGAGUUCCGUUCCACUGGGCAGACAGAGAAGCACUUGCCAGACGGCAGCAAGGAGAUUCUGUACCCAGACGGCAUCUACAAGAUUGUUCGGCCAGAUGGCAGCGACGAAACCUUCUACCCCGAUGGGGAGCCAAUGGAGGAGUAGCCACGCAGCGGUGCGCUGCAUCAUGAGACAACGUCUUUGUUGUCUUUAUUACCUUUUCGCGUCGGCAUCUCUGCUCUCGCCUUGCCCGUUCUCUGACUGUAUGCGCUGUUGCUCCUUUUUUCCACUGCUCUCAAAGGUGCCAAGACGGAGGUGUACGGCGAGGCGGUGCCGAGAUGCGGCGCAGGGAGUAGGGAACAAUACGGGGGCUGGCCAGGCAGAUAAGCGAUGGUGACAUGUACCUGUAUUCUCUCUUGUCGUAGACGCUUUUCUUGUUUGUUGCUUUUUGUCUUGUGUGAGAAGAUGCGCAAGUGAGAGGGCGCAGAAUUCAGAGGAGCAGAGAGGGCGUUGACGUCGGCUUUCGGUGUUCUCCCGCGAGUAUGUGCGUGCUGCCGCUGCCGUGCUUGCAUAUCACCUUGCUUCCGCUAUCGCUGCUUUCUUUCCGCGCUGCCUUCCUUUUCUUUAUCCGUGUCCGUUGUCCUGUGCAGUUGUAUGCGCUGCAUCUGAUCAUCUGUCCCUCUCUCUUUAGAGUUGCCCCCCCCCCUCCCCUCCCCUCCCUUCUCCUCCUCCUCUGCAUUUUUGUUGGUGCUGUGCUGCGCAUCUUUGCUGGCAUUCCCCCCCCCCCCCCGCUCUGUUUGAGGUCGCUUCCGUGAGUGUGUGCGCUGCGUCCUUGUACUGCCCUCGGUUAUCUUGUUACCUUUGAUCAUUUGGCUCGGUGCUUCUUUGUUUUUAUAAACGUGUUUUCUGUUGCUGUUGUUGUUGUUACUUUCCCGUCGUCUUGUUUGUACGUCUCCGUGUACUUCGCUCCCUGGCCGGCACGGUUGCGGCGGCUGGCUGCUGGCAGCGAUAGCGCGCACUUGGGUGUGCUGUGCAGCCGAGUGCGCGAGUGGUAGUUGGCGGGUCAAGGGAACUCAGAGUGUGAGGUGGGCGGGGCAGGCCCGGGGAUGUCACGUUGUCUUGCUGUUGUUAUCGUGGUGCCUCUUACCAACACGGUCAUUCGACUCCGUGCUCCCCUCUUGGCGCUUUUUCCACCUUUUCUUUCCCCGCUUUCUCUCCCGCCGUGCUCUCGCUCUCUCGUCUCGGCCACUGCUGUUUUCCAGACGGCACACACAAACACAUGCGAAAACUGCGAAAGAAGAAAAGAAGAAAGACACGCGAAGAGAAGACAUGGCGCGAGACGGCCUUCGCUACUCUCCUUUUUUCCGCGUGUGUGUGUACAUGGACCCCUGGUCGACGACAGGGUUGAGACGAGGCAGGGAGAGAGAGGGAGGGGGAGGGGCAGGAGGCUGUUGUCACUGCCACUCGCGUCAUGGAAGAGCGUGGCGGCAGGGCCACGAUGUAAGCAUUGGAGAUACCACCGAGCAAAAUAUCUUUUUUCUUCGCUUUUAAGGUGUGUACGUUCUCUUCCAUACAAAUUGAGUCCGACGCCACACUGCACCCCCACCCCACACAUCCGCGCCGUGCGCAGAGGCAGCAGCAGACACACGCCGGCACAGCAGUGCGCCGACUCAGUCAGCUGAGCACGGCCGCCGCCUCACACUCUACGCAGACCCUCUCUGCCGGUCGCCACCUGCUGCGUCCCUCGGGGGUGUCCCAGGGCCCCCACCCACCCACCCCACGCACACACACCAGUAGGCAGUGAGCGUCGGGCGGGAUGCGCUCGAGUCACGCGGAAGCUUCGCCCAUCACAUGGAUGACACAAGCGUGUGCGCUGUCGCAGGUCGCUCUGGCCUCUCUGCGUCGUGGGCACGGGAACCCCCGUCACCACCCGAAGUGGUUCGGCAGGGGCAGGGGGAUAGAGGGGGGGAGAGACGGCUGCUUUGGCUUCCCACCCACACACACACACACGCAGAGUAGGGUCCCCGGGCCCUGUGAUACCACGGUGAGGUGUCCCUUGUCAUGAGGACAAACAAAGUAUCAGAGACAGUCAAAACAAUCAGAAGCGGUUAUAAAGGUUUCCAUUUUCGCGGUCGCGGCGCAUGAGCGGCGGCGCGGGUCUUCGCACACGGCGCUGCCUCAGCGGACAGUCCGUUUGGGUGUUUGCGCCGCUUUUUUGGAGCGAAUGAGG